RNAcentral lists this ribosomal RNA (520 nucleotides) under uncultured Glomus. Its description in RNAcentral is "SSU rRNA". It matches the Rfam family "Eukaryotic small subunit ribosomal RNA", at positions 569 to 1092 of the family's 1831-position model. The record is from RNAcentral. Lineage: Eukaryota; Fungi; Glomeromycota; Glomeromycetes; Glomerales; Glomeraceae.
AGCAGCCGCGGUAAUUCCAGCUCCAAUAGCGUAUAUUAAAGUUGUUGCAGUUAAAAAGCUCGUAGUUGAAUUUCGGGAUCAGUUGGUCGGUCGUGCCUCGGUACGUACUGGUCAAAUUGAUUCCUACCUUCUGACGAACCACGAUGUCAUUAAUUUGGUGUCGCGGGAAAUCAGGACUGUUACUUUGAAAAAAUUAGAGUGUUUAAAGCAGGCUCGCGCUUGAAUACAUUAGCAUGGAAUAAUGAAAUAGGACGUUUGAUUCUAUUUUGUUGGUUUCUAGGAUCGACGUAAUGAUUAAUAGGGAUAGUUGGGGGCAUUAGUAUUCAAUUGUCAGAGGUGAAAUUCUUGGAUUUAUUGAAGACUAACUACUGCGAAAGCAUUUGCCAAGGAUGUUUUCAUUAAUCAAGAACGAAAGUUAGGGGAUCGAAGACGAUCAGAUACCGUCGUAGUCUUAACCAUAAACUAUGCCGACUAGGGAUCGGAUGAUGUAAUUUUUUAAUGACUCAUUCGGCGCCUUAAC